GAAGGAAGUGAGAAGACGAAGGAAGUGCGAAGACGAAGGAAGUGCGAAGACGAAGGGGGUGCGAAGACGAAGGGGGAGUGAGUCGUGAGUUCUCUCGGGCUUCUUUCCGACAGUGGCGGAGGCAGUAGUCAAGCGUGGAGGUUGGUGAACUCGUAGGCGAUUCACCGCGGUGAGAAAGUGAGGACGGUUCGUCGCGAUGAGAAGACGAAGGCGGUUCGUCGCGGCGGGAAUACGAAGGCGACUUGGUUCUCCGGUCUCCUUCUCCGAUUAUCUUCUCCGUCAACGGUAACAGCGGCAAUGGCGAGGAUCCUUGAAACCAGGAGCUGCUCUUUUCAAAUGGUGGACAUGAGCAUCCAACGUCUUAAAAGCAAUGCUUUCAUGACUUGAUGCUAUUGUCAUUUCAUUGAGGAGCCUAUCUGCAUCUUCAAAGAAGAGAGUUAACACUUCAACCAUAAAAUCUGGGCUGCUUUCAUCUUGGAGUUGCUGGAGCUGGUUAAACUGUUCAUCCAGAAACCCUCUCAUGAUUAGAGAGGCAGUAUAAUCAACAUGUUGUCUCUGUUGGGGAAUCAUAGCAUUAACAUCCAUUGUUUGUCUCAUUUUUUCAACAUUCACUGAAGAUCUUAGGCAUUCAUUUCUUCUUCUAAUACUUGGAUUGUAUAUAGUUAGUUUUGUUCUCUACUCACGACUAUUAGUUUCUGGAUAGAGAUUUGGGCAAUAUCAAAAAUCUGUGGGAACCUUAAUAUCCUUGUAUCUAAGACUCAAAUAUAUGGUGCUUUAUUGUUGUGUUCUUUAUGUUUUAUAAACAUGGAAACAAUAUUCAAGGUU
Non-coding RNA from Lupinus albus (white lupine), 825 nucleotides. The record is from the annotation of a GenBank genome assembly. NCBI's taxonomy places the organism in Eukaryota, Viridiplantae, Streptophyta, Magnoliopsida, Fabales, Fabaceae.